UUUUGAUCAUGUAGAAAUCUAAACACAGAAAUAUAUAGAUGGUCCUCUAGAUAUAGCAGAAUGUGUAGAACAAAAUUUUAAGUGAGAAACAAUGUUGUGCAGUACUGCAAUUUGACAGUAUGGUAAAGGUAUUACCCAGUUAAGGUCCAACGGAAAUGGGGCCUUGACGGAGAAUUUGAACAAGUCCUACCCUUUAGCAUUCUUGCAGAAGUGACUACUCUCAAGACUUGAACCUGCACCCUUGUGCUUGCAAGUCUUAAGACUUUUAACAGUAAAUGUCUUUAUAUUUGAGAACAUCAUAUAAAAUAUAUUUUAAAUUGUCCAGCCACCAAAUCACCAACUUAUUGGUUAACUGCACUUUGCAUUAUAAGAAGCACCACAACCAGAAUAAAGUUUCAGAAAAAGAACCUUUGCUUCAGUUAAAAUUGUAACAAAAUUGCGAUAAGAACUAUCCAAUAGAAGGUGAAAAAGAAUAGUGUGGAAACCUUCUCAAUAAGGUCCAGAAUAUCUUGGUUAUCAACAAAAUCUAUGUAGCUCCAAUCAAUUUCCUCUUUUACAUACUCUUGUUGAACCAUCUUGAACACGUGCUGAAUGGCACCACAACCACAAAGAUUAUACAGUGACAGACAUAAGCAUUCCAAAGUAGUCAAAUAUGACUACCCUCACGCCUGGUUGAAAUGUUGUUGCAGCUUUUCAUUUGUUAAAUUAAUGCAAAACUGUUAAAAACAAUGAAACAACCGAGAAUAUAUUGUCUUGGCUAAACCAUCCCUGUUUACUGCUGCACCAAGAGGAUCUAGACUUUUCUUGAUAAUUUCUUCCGGGGUUAUCAUUACACGCUGACAUAAUGCAUCCUCCAAUGAAUGAGGAUCACACCUGAAAUAAGUAUAAGACUUAUUAAUGCCACCAUUGAUGUACGAAUUAUGAAUCUAACUGUGACCUCAAGGCUUCAGUCACACAUGAGAAGCUCUGCUGUCAUUCGAAGAUGAAAUUUGGACUCAUCUUUUACGACUGAUGUAUCAAUGUCUUCCUCCUUUGCAAAAUCAAUAUUACCAAGAUGAACAAUAGCAGUCACAAACCCUGCCUCAAGGACAUAAUAUCACUCUCAUUAUAUAAAUUAUAACAAAAAAUCUAAAUUAGGAAAAUAUGAAAAAACACAUAACAUGAAAAGCAUAUAAUUUGAUAGACACAGGAUCUGAAAUUUGACAAACUCGAGAUCUCUUAAGAAGGUAAGUUCUGAUGGCCGCCCUGAUAUUCUUCCACUCUCAUCAAAUUGAAUUUCAACAAAUUUCCCGAAACGGCUGGAAUUGUUAUUUCUAACAGUCUCUGCAUUGCCAAAUGCUUCAAGAACAGGAUUUGACAUUCUAAUUCCGAGAAGGACGAUUCUGACUCCAAUGCUGCACCGAAUUCACAUAAAUCGCCGUACCGUGAUCUUUCAGUUAUCCAACUCAGAUGCCAAAACGACGUAAGAUUCUUGGUGAAGUAGAAGAAUUGAAAGGAAGGGAAAAAGAAAGGAAAAAAAGAAAAGGAAGGGGAAAGGUACGUGUUCUUGGGAUUUUUCAUGGCUUUUUGAUGUAUCAAAAAUUUUUUGGGUAAUGGACAAUUGAUAAAAUUGAUGAAACUAGUAUCAAAUUGCAUGAUUCUAAGUAUCAAAAAAUUUUGGAAUGAUGAAUCGUAGUUGAAUUUGAUGAAAUUGUAUGAAUUUUUUUAAUAUUAGAACCUUAUGGGUAACGAACAGAAUUGAUGAGAACUGACGAAGAUGGGUAUCAGGAUUUUUUGGGGUAGCAAAUAAUUGAUAGAAACUAUUAAUCUUGGGUAUUGGAUCUUUUGGGUAACGAAUUUUGAUGGGAAUGAUGAAAUUUGUGUAUCAAAAAUUUUUUGCAUAACGUACAUUUGAAAAAAAUGAUAAAUUUUGGCAUUAAAAUUUUUCAGGUAAUGCACCUCUGAUAAAAUUAAUAAUGUACUGCAUGAUUAUUGAUUGUACCAUGUAAUUGCUUGAUGAUACUUGUGAAUUGAGCUUCUAUGAAUUUUUCUGGACCCUUGAUGUUGAGAAAAAUGUUGAUCACAUGUUGAACCUUUGUAUUGUGUGACACAAAAUUUGUAAACCUUGAAUAACAUCAUUAAUUUUUAUGAUUUGUGUGCGGUGUUAAGAAAAUUUUAUUAAAGCAAUUUAUAUGAGAAAAUGCUGCCAAAAUUUCUGUAGGACCAAAUUUGCACCUUAUAACACCAAAUUUUUUCUUCCUCAAUGGAAAAUUGAUAUCCACUACACAAAACUAAUACUUUUUGCUUCUUGAGCAAUUCUGGACCUAAUUGACUUGUGGUGCCAAUAUGAACUAUUUAUUGCUUGCCCAAUAAAAACAAGUUGUAAAAAUAUAUUUGUAUAGUUGUACCAAUUAAUUUUCAUUGCACAACACCAUAAACUCUUCAUUAUUUCUCAACUGUACUCCACUAUAUCCUGUACUAAUCAACUCUUAGGCUUGCCCAAACACUUAGAAAGCACAACUUCACUUCAUCAUACCAAGAUUUAGUCCACUUGUAUCAGCUUAAACCACAAAACCUUCCAGCACAUUCAAAGAAAUCAAGCCAUCUCAUAGAAACAAAUAAUGCAUCACAAAAGUACUUUCUCCAAAACCCAAGAAUACUUUUAAAAAAUUCUAGCAAGGCAAUCUUAUGAAGCACAUACCAAGUUCUAGAAAUUUAAACCUCAAGCCACACUGCAAUUCAACCUAGAUACCGCAACCUACUUCCAGUCAUUCAACUUUAGCACAUAAAGCACACACAUAUUCUACCAAGAUCUCAUUUUUGCCUUCAUUUUAGCUAUGCCCACCAAAAAUUAAUCUAGCAUAGCUAAAAUCCUUAAAAUAAUGAAACUUUAGGGCAAUGAGAGAUACCUUUCAAGCUCCAUUAUUAAUUAUGCUUGUACUUUCAUAGCUAGAGUUAUGUUGGCAUUUCCACCGGUACCCUUGAUAGACAUCUUUCCAGCCAGUGUUACCAACAUGGACAGGAAUUCAUCCAUCAAACCUAAUAAGUAUCAUUUGUCCGUUCACUACAAGAAAAAAGGGAAUUUAAAACCGAAAAUUUGGUUUCAAAUCAGUGAAAAUCGAUUUCUAAUUGCAAUUAGAAACUAAUUUGAAACUGAAAUAUUCAGUUUACAAUCCACUGGUUUCUAAAUAAAUUUAAAAUGGAUUAUGAAAUUCGUUUCAAAUUCUGAAACCAUUUUAAAACAGACAUUUCCGUUUUUAAAUUAGAAACCGAAUUAAUUCUGUUUCUAAAUUCUUUUCAAGUUAGAAACUGACACUUUUUUGUUUCUAUUGACCUGAAAUGGAUUUCCAUUUCUAAUCAGUUUCUAACUUGUAAUAUUAAUA
RNAcentral lists this unclassified non-coding RNA (3362 nucleotides) under Hevea brasiliensis (rubber tree). The record is from RNAcentral. Lineage: Eukaryota; Viridiplantae; Streptophyta; Magnoliopsida; Malpighiales; Euphorbiaceae.